UGGCUCAGGAUGAACGCUGGCGGCGUGCCUAAUACAUGCAAGUCGAGCGAGAAAUCUUUCAGACAAAUCUUCGGAAGCGUCAGAGAGAUGGAAAGCGGCGGACGGGUGAGUAACGCGUAGGCAACCUGCCCUUAGCAGAGGGAUAGCCAUUGGAAACGAUGAUUAAAACCUCAUAAUGCUGGAGAAGCACAUGCUUCAUCAGCCAAAGAUUUAUCGGCUAAGGAUGGGCCUGCGUCUGAUUAACUAGUUGGUGAGGUAACGGCUCACCAAGGUGACGAUCAGUAGCCGACCUGAGAGGGUGAUCGGCCACAUUGGAACUGAGACACGGUCCAAACUUCUACGGAAGGCAGCAGUAAGGAAUCUUGCACAAUGGGGGAAACCCUGAUGCCAGCAACGCCGCGUGAACGAUGAAGGCCUUAGGGUUGUAAAGUUCUGAUCUGUGGGAAGAAGAAAGUGACGGUACCACAGGAGAAAGCCCCGGCUAAAUACGUGCCAGCCGCAGC
Molecule: ribosomal RNA, 503 nt
Filed under: uncultured bacterium
Lineage: Bacteria
Description: bacterial SSU rRNA
Rfam family: Bacterial small subunit ribosomal RNA
Source: RNAcentral